AAGGUGGAUGUGCCCGAAAAGGGAACCUGAACACAGGUGCUGCAUGGCUGUCGUCAGCUCGUGUCGUGAGAUGUUGGGUUAAGUCCCGCAACGAGCGCAACCCUUGUCAUUAGUUGCUACGAAAGGGCACUCUAAUGAGACUGCCGGUGACAAACCGGAGGAAGGUGGGGAUGACGUCAGGUCAUCAUGGCCCUUAUGGGUAGGGCUACACACGUCAUACAAUGGCCGGGACAGAGGGCUGCCAACCCGCGAGGGGGAGCUAAUCCCAGAAACCCGGUCGUAGUCCGGAUCGCAGUCUGCAACUCGACUGCGUGAAGUCGGAAUCGCUAGUAAUCGCGGAUCAGCUUGCCGCGGUGAAUACGUUCCCGGGUCUUGUACACACCGCCCGUCACACCAUGGGAGCGGGUUCUGCCAGAAGUAGUUAGCCUAACCGCAAGGAGGGCGAUUACCACGGCAGGGUUCGUGACUGGGGUGAAGUCGUAACAAGGUAACCGUAA
Molecule: ribosomal RNA, 497 nt
Filed under: uncultured beta proteobacterium
Lineage: Bacteria; Pseudomonadati; Pseudomonadota; Betaproteobacteria
Description: bacterial SSU rRNA
Rfam family: Bacterial small subunit ribosomal RNA
Source: RNAcentral